RNAcentral lists this ribosomal RNA (290 nucleotides) under uncultured bacterium. RNAcentral describes it as "partial 16S ribosomal RNA". It matches the Rfam family "Bacterial small subunit ribosomal RNA", at positions 773 to 1060 of the family's 1533-position model. The record is from RNAcentral.
GUGGAUUAGAUACCCUGGUAGUCCUAGCCGUAAACGAUGUGAACUUGGCGGUGGUUGGGUAAAACCGAGCACUGCCGAAGCAAACGCGAUAAGUUCACCACCUGGGGACUACGGCCGCAAGGUUAAAACUCAAAGGAAUUGACGGGGGCCCGCACAAGCAGCGGAGCGUGUGGUUUAAUUCGAUGCUACACGAAGAACCUUACCAGGGCUUGACAUGCAAGUGGUAGGGAAGGGAAACCGGACCGACCCUUCGGGGAGCUUGCACAGGUGCUGCAUGGCCGUCGCCAGCU